This 412-nucleotide ribosomal RNA is filed under the name uncultured bacterium. Its description in RNAcentral is "bacterial SSU rRNA". It matches the Rfam family "Bacterial small subunit ribosomal RNA", at positions 28 to 420 of the family's 1533-position model. The record is from RNAcentral.
GAUGAACGCUGGCGGCGUGCUUAACACAUGCAAGUCGAACGAAGCAUUUAAGACAGAUUACUUCGGUUUGAAGUCUUUUAUGACUGAGUGGCGGAUGGGUGAGUAACGCGUGGGUAACCUGCCUCAUACAGGGGGAUAGCAGCUGGAAACGGCUGGUAAUACCGCAUAAGCGCACGGUAUCACAUGAUACAGUGUGAAAAACUCCGGUGGUAUGAGAUGGACCCGCGUCUGAUUAGCUAGUUGGUGAGGUAACGGCCCACCAAGGCGACGAUCAGUAGCCGACCUGAGAGGGUGACCGGCACAUUGGGACUGAGACACGGCCCAGACUCCUAACGGGAGGCAGCAGUGGGGAAUAUUCGUCAAUGGGGGAAACCCUGAACGAGCAAUGCCGCGUGAACGAUGAAGGCCCUAU